GACGAACCGAGCGACCGUUGUUCGGAAUCACUGGGCUUAAAGGGCGCGUAGGCGGGCCGCCGCGUCCGGGGUGAAAUCCUCCCGCUCAACGGGAGAACGGCCUCGGAUACGGGCGGCCUGGAGGGGGGUAGGGGCGUGCGGAACUGUGGGUGGAGCGGUGAAAUGCGUUGAUAUCCACAGGAACUCCGGUGGCGAAGGCGGCACGCUGGACCCCACCUGACGCUGAGGCGCGAAAGCCAGGGGAGCGAACGGG
This 253-nucleotide ribosomal RNA is filed under the name uncultured bacterium. RNAcentral describes it as "partial 16S ribosomal RNA". It matches the Rfam family "Bacterial small subunit ribosomal RNA", at positions 524 to 776 of the family's 1533-position model. The record is from RNAcentral.